GGAAGGGUGGCAGAGUGGUCUAACGCGCUGGUCUUGAAAACCAGAGUCUCGGAAACGGGACCGUGAGUUCGAAUCUCACCCCUUCC
This 86-nucleotide transfer RNA is filed under the name Candidatus Kaiserbacteria bacterium CG06_land_8_20_14_3_00_49_31. RNAcentral's name for it is "tRNA-Ser". It matches the Rfam family "tRNA". From Rfam's summary of the family: Transfer RNA (tRNA) molecules are approximately 80 nucleotides in length. Their secondary structure includes four short double-helical elements and three loops (D, anti-codon, and T loops). Lineage: Bacteria; Candidatus Kaiseribacteriota. The record is from RNAcentral.